AGUUGCCAUCAUUCAGGUUGGGCACUCUAGCGAGACUGCCGGUAAUAAACCGGAGGAAGUGGGAUGACGUCAAAUCAUCAUGCCCCUUAUGACCUGGGCUACACACGUGCUACAAUGGUUGGUACAACGAGUUGCGAGUCGGUGACGGCGAGCUAAUCUCUUAAAGCCAAUCUCAGUUCGGAUUGUAGGCUGCAACUCGCCUACAUGAAGUCGGAAUCGCUAGUAAUCGCGGAUCAGCACGCCCGCGGUCCGAAUACGUUCCGGGCCUU
RNAcentral lists this ribosomal RNA (269 nucleotides) under uncultured Streptococcus sp. RNAcentral describes it as "partial 16S ribosomal RNA". It matches the Rfam family "Bacterial small subunit ribosomal RNA", at positions 1113 to 1382 of the family's 1533-position model. The record is from RNAcentral. Lineage: Bacteria; Bacillati; Bacillota; Bacilli; Lactobacillales; Streptococcaceae.